UUUGUCCUUUCUUCUUCUGCUUGCAGGCUUACCUAUACAUGCACAUUCGCAACAAGGAGUUUCCAUGGGGUCCAGAUGGCCUUUUUGAGGUCAAGCACCACUGAAACUGCAUGGUUUUUCUGUGAAGGCAUCAAAAUAAUUCCUGUCCAUUUGAGAAUAUCUUCACAUCUGUGGUGUAAGCUGUUGAAUUUUCAUUGAAUGUCUUCUGUUGGUUCUUUUCAGUAUAAGAAACCAUUGCCUUUACUUUGGCGUAUCUGUAUUUUGCAGUAUACUCUUGGGUUCUUGCAAAGUGCUUUCUAAAGAAUAAGAAUUGAGGGAUGAUUAAGUCGUUCCAGUUAUUCUUUUCAAUAUAGUUGCUCUUAAAUGCCUCA
Molecule: long non-coding RNA, 371 nt
Organism: Lycium ferocissimum
Lineage: Eukaryota; Viridiplantae; Streptophyta; Magnoliopsida; Solanales; Solanaceae
Exons: 2
Source: RefSeq, a predicted model, not a curated record